RNAcentral lists this ribosomal RNA (365 nucleotides) under Stenotrophomonas maltophilia. Its description in RNAcentral is "bacterial LSU rRNA". It matches the Rfam family "Bacterial large subunit ribosomal RNA", at positions 2572 to 2925 of the family's 2925-position model. Lineage: Bacteria; Pseudomonadati; Pseudomonadota; Gammaproteobacteria; Lysobacterales; Lysobacteraceae. The record is from RNAcentral.
AUGGCUGUUCGCCAUUUAAAGUGGUACGCGAGCUGGGUUCAGAACGUCGUGAGACAGUUCGGUCCCUAUCUGCCAUGGGCGUUGGAGAUUUGAGAGGGGCUGCUCCUAGUACGAGAGGACCGGAGUGGACGAACCUCUGGUGUUCCGGUUGUCACGCCAGUGGCAUUGCCGGGUAGCUAUGUUCGGAAGCGAUAACCGCUGAAAGCAUCUAAGCGGGAAGCGCGCCUCAAGAUGAGAUCUCCCGGGGCACAAGCCCCCUGAAGGAACCAUGUAGACUACGUGGUUGAUAGGUCAGGUGUGUAAGUACAGCAAUGUAUUGAGCUAACUGAUACUAAUGAUCCGUGCGGCUUGACCAUAUAACCUCA